RNAcentral lists this transfer RNA (361 nucleotides) under uncultured Microcystis sp. RNAcentral describes it as "partial 16S-23S ribosomal RNA intergenic spacer". The stretch from base 136 to 209 matches the Rfam family "tRNA". The record is from RNAcentral. Lineage: Bacteria; Bacillati; Cyanobacteriota; Cyanophyceae; Chroococcales; Microcystaceae.
AAAGGGAGACCUAAUUCAGGUAGGAGACGAAAAAAAAGUAGUCCCUACCAGGAAUCAAUCCCAAAAGGUCGGAGCGAGGCGAAAUUGGCCUUCAAACUAGGUUCUGGGUUCAAACAAGACCUGAAUCAGGAACAAGGGCUAUUAGCUCAGGUGGUUAGAGCGCACCCCUGAUAAGGGUGAGGUCCCUGGUUCGAGUCCAGGAUGGCCCACCUGCACAGGUGGCAAAAACAAGAGAAGCUCCGAAUCAGCACCUUAUCUUACUGACAUAGUAAGAGAGAAUGCUGGCUCUGAGUAAAGAGUCCAGAGGAACCUUGAAAACUGCAUAGAGCUAGGUGAAAAAGCCAAAAAAGAAGACCGCAAG